This 21-nucleotide microRNA is filed under the name Cavia porcellus (domestic guinea pig). RNAcentral describes it as "cpo-miR-1379-3p". The record is from miRBase by way of RNAcentral. Lineage: Eukaryota; Metazoa; Chordata; Mammalia; Rodentia; Caviidae.
CACGGGCUGCAGCGCCAACGC